Molecule: ribosomal RNA, 235 nt
Filed under: uncultured bacterium
Lineage: Bacteria
Description: partial 16S ribosomal RNA
Rfam family: Bacterial small subunit ribosomal RNA
Source: RNAcentral
GAUCAUGGCUCAGGAUGAACGCUAGCUACAGGCUUAACACACGCAAGUCGAGGGGCGAGCGGGAGUUGAAGCUUGCUUCAAUUGCCGGCGACCGGCGCACGGGUGAGUAACGCGUAUCCAACCUUCCGCAUACUCGGGGAUAGCCUUCUGAAAAGGAGAUUAAUACCCGAUGGUAUCAAGAGAUUGCAUGAUAACUUGAUUAAAGAAUUUCGGUAUGCGAUGGGGAUGCGUUCCA